GAUACCUACGGGGCGCAGCAGUGGGGGAUAUUGCACAAUGGGGGAAACCCUGAUGCAGCGACGCCGCGUGGGUGAAGAAGCGCCUCGGCGCGUAAAGCCCUGUCAGCAGGGAAGAAAAUGACGGUACCUGAAGAAGAAGCCCCGGCUAACUACGUGCCAGCAGCCGCGGUAAUACGUAGGGGGCAAGCGUUAUCCGGAUUUACUGGGUGUAAAGGGAGCGUAGACGGCAAUGCAAGUCUGGAGUGAAAGGCGGGGGCCCAACCCCCGGACUGCUCUGGAAACUGUAUAGCUGGAGGGCAGGAGAG
This 305-nucleotide ribosomal RNA is filed under the name uncultured bacterium. Its description in RNAcentral is "bacterial SSU rRNA". It matches the Rfam family "Bacterial small subunit ribosomal RNA", at positions 334 to 656 of the family's 1533-position model. The record is from RNAcentral.